Molecule: long non-coding RNA, 294 nt
Filed under: Mytilus galloprovincialis (Mediterranean mussel)
Lineage: Eukaryota; Metazoa; Mollusca; Bivalvia; Mytilida; Mytilidae
Source: RNAcentral
UGAGGUUACAUGAGUGAUUUAUCUGCCUUAUUUUUACAUGUUCACAAAUCAGUAUCCAGGAGAACUGUAAAUAUAUAGAGGCUUUGUACCCUCCCACUGAAAUUUUGUGCUCUUAAAAGGAAACCAGGUGCUUUUUCUAAGUAAGGAAAGAGUUUAUAAAUUACCCAUCAUCAAUCAUGUCCUCACAUCUAAUUUAUAAAAGAUGAUUUUAUUGAUCAUUGAAAUGUGUAUCAGAGUGAGAACUUUUCAAUGUUUUUUUGGGGGAAUAUUAUAUUACCCUAAUUUAAUAUUUUU